RNAcentral lists this ribosomal RNA (257 nucleotides) under Vibrio parahaemolyticus. Its description in RNAcentral is "partial 23S ribosomal RNA". It matches the Rfam family "Bacterial large subunit ribosomal RNA", at positions 1419 to 1676 of the family's 2925-position model. Lineage: Bacteria; Pseudomonadati; Pseudomonadota; Gammaproteobacteria; Vibrionales; Vibrionaceae. The record is from RNAcentral.
UGGGAAACGGGUUAAUAUUCCCGUACUUCUUACAAUUGCGAUGGGGGGACGGAGAAGGCUAGGUGGGCCUGGCGACGGUUGUCCAGGUUCAAGUGCGUAGGCUUGAGAGUUAGGUAAAUCCGGCUCUCUUUAAGGCUGAGACACGACGUCGAGCACCUACGGGUGUGAAGUCAUUGAUGCCAUGCUUCCAGGAAAAGCCUCUAAGCUUCAGAUUGUAAGGAAUCGUACCCCAAACCGACACAGGUGGUCGGGUAGAG